RNAcentral lists this transfer RNA (77 nucleotides) under Tepidimonas alkaliphilus. Its description in RNAcentral is "tRNA-Phe". Lineage: Bacteria; Pseudomonadati; Pseudomonadota; Betaproteobacteria; Burkholderiales. The record is from RNAcentral.
AGGCGCUGCGGGAUGGCGUGGCCCAUGCCCGGCUGAAAGCCGUGCACCAGCGCCUGGUCGAGGUAGGCCAGCGCCUG